This is a long non-coding RNA of Neopelma chrysocephalum (saffron-crested tyrant-manakin), 362 nucleotides long. RefSeq lists it as uncharacterized. NCBI's taxonomy places the organism in Eukaryota, Metazoa, Chordata, Aves, Passeriformes, Pipridae. The transcript has 2 exons. The record is from RefSeq and is a predicted model, not a curated record.
CCUUACACUGAGGUGUACCCCAGCUGCUAAGGAGGUCUCUUUGUUGAGCUCCUGUAGCUCUGCAGGUUCUCUGCUGUAAAUAUACAGAACGUAGGGACUCACAAAACAAGCUGAGAGUGCCAAAGCCUUGGAGGAAAUCUUGGGCUCCACCUUCCAGUGUGCUGCUGCAGUGCUCUGACAGCUCAAAGAAGCCUUUUGGUCCUAUGUCACACCUCUGGGAGCUUCUCUGUGCACAUCUGUGAGCCACAGAGGUCAGGCUGUAAUGGGUGUAAAGAAAGAAAAGCAAGUUCAAACAGAAGGUGGGAGAACUUAGAAGGUGGGAGGAGGAGGAAACCAGUGGUCCAAAAUGGGCAAGUCCCAUC